Molecule: unclassified non-coding RNA, 325 nt
Organism: Cebus imitator (Panamanian white-faced capuchin)
Lineage: Eukaryota; Metazoa; Chordata; Mammalia; Primates; Cebidae
Gene: 7SK
Rfam family: 7SK RNA
About the family: 7SK was discovered as an abundant small nuclear RNA in the mid-70s but a possible function has only recently been suggested. Two independent studies have found that 7SK RNA binds the CDK9/cyclin T complex (known as elongation factor P-TEFb).
Source: Ensembl
GGAUGUGAGGGCGAUCUGGCUGCGACAUCUGUCACCCCAUUGAUUGCCAGGGUUGAUUUGGCUGAUCUGACUGGCUAGGCAGGUGUCCCCUUUCUCCCUCACCACUCCAUGUGCGUCCCCUCCCGAAGCUGCGCACUCAGUCGAAGAGGACGACCAUCCCCAAUAGUGGAGGACCGGUCUUCGGUCAAGGGUAUACGAGUAGCUGCACUCCCCUGCUAGAACCUCCAAACAAGCUCUCAAGGUCCUAAUUAUGGAGAAAAAUCUCAACUUGGUGGUUAAAGUCAUAACAUUUAGGGUUUGACAGAUCCUGGCUCUGCCACUGCCC